Molecule: long non-coding RNA, 2129 nt
Organism: Onychostoma macrolepis
Lineage: Eukaryota; Metazoa; Chordata; Actinopteri; Cypriniformes; Cyprinidae
Exons: 3
Source: RefSeq, a predicted model, not a curated record
UUUCAACUAUACAACACAUUACUCCAUUUCUUCAACAGCUAAAUUGGCUUCCCAUCAAAUUUCGCAUUGAAUUUAAAAUCUUUCUUCUCACAUAUAAAACUCUCCAUAACCUCGCUCCAACUUAUCUCUCAGAUCUCAUUCAGCCCUACGCUCCUUCUCGAAUGCUUCGUUCUUCCUCAAUGGGUCUUCAUACACCCACGGCUCGUUUAACAACUAUGCACUGUUAAAAAUUGCUGUUAAUUUACGGCAGAAUUUCAACAGUAUAAUCCUGUUAUGUUCAAAAGCAGUACAUUACUGUUUUUUUUCGUUUUUGUGAAAUGACGUAGACACAAUAUAACGGCAUUCUACUGUAUUUAUAACUCGAAGGAAAUAAAACAUUACUAUCCAGUAUUUUUGUAAACUGCAGUGAGCACGCCGGGACUUUCAUCCGUCUUGUUAACAGGUCAAUUCCCCUUUGCUUUGCGCGAUUUCAUAGACAAAAUACAUUACAUUUGCUACUGCAACUAAUCUGUAUAGUGGAUAUCGGAAGUGACACUAUCUUUUAUUUGCUCUUUUCAGUGAUAAACGCGCCAAAUGCGACAUCAUCGAGUGCAACUGGAUUUCUGACUCUGUGACUCGGAUUAUAUUAUUCCCAAUUACAGGGUUCAGGUGAAACACCAGGAAGAAGAAUCCAGCACUGGAUGAUCGGCCUUGAGGAGCACAUCAUUUGUGAGGGCAUCCAGCCAGCUUUUCUGUCUGGGCUUGCAGCUGAUUUUUCUACUUACAACAAUUUCAAUCUUCAAUACCAAGCUGAAGACGCAUGCAUGUUGCAAAUUAUUCAACGGUGGUUCAUCGAGAUAAAUCCGGAAAAGGGACCAGGGCUGGAGGAGUCAUAUCAAAGUGGACGGGGAAGGUCACCCAGAAAAAGAAAACCGUGAACCCUCGUGUCUGCAGUCUACUUAAAAAAAUUUAUGGAUUUUGAGUUGGACUUUAUACAAGUAUUACACACCACAGACCACACACUCACAUCACACACACACGUUUGUUUUUGUGAAAAGUGGGGACAUCCCAUAAGCGUAAUGGUUUUUAUACUGUAAAAACUGUAUGUGCUAUUGCCCUACACCUAAACCUACCCUUUACAGCGAACUUUGUGCUAUUUCAGAUUUUCAAUACACUCCAUUCUGUGUGAUUUAUAAGCGUUUUGAAAAGUGGGGACAUGAGGUAAUGUCCUGAAAAGUCACCUGCUCCUUGUAAUACCUGUCAUUACACAAAUUUAUGUCCUCAUUUGUCACAAAAAUGUGCGUGCGCACACACCCACACACACAGUCUCUUGAUCUCUAUUUUUUCAGGUAUUCAUUAAUUUCUAUUCACUCAAAAACAUUUACUCAGGUGUUCUCUAAGUUUUUCACUUAAUCUUUGUGUCCAGAGUUAUUUUUUUGGACAGCCUGCAUGACCUAUUAGAAUUAAUUGUUAAAGAGUUAAAGCAAUUUAUUUAUCAUUUAUACAGCUGAAAUGUACAUUUAUUGUCAUAAAUGUAAUAAGCUUUGGGCUUUAUUUUACAAUUUGUUUUCAUUUUGUACCAAUGUUCUGUAAGUCAGAAUCUGAUUUGGGGAAUAUGUUGAGUUUAUUUCUGUUAUGACCACUUCUUCCCCUUAAAUUUCAAUUAUUGUCUUUAAUGUUUUUUCUAAGAAAGUUUUUUUUUUUUUUUUAAUAAAGCAAAACAAGUUUUGAAUCAACACUUUAAAGCUGCUUUACUUGUGUUACAUUUCAAGUCACUAUUUCAAAGGGUACAAAUAUAUAUUAAAAACCAAGAAGAAAAUGUUGUCCUUUUUACUAGCAGGCCAUUAUUCAAUAGCGUACACAAUGGCAUAGUAUAUUUGUAUUGUAGUUUACACAUUGUUUGUUUAGUUGUGAAGAAGAGCAAAAAAAGUAUUUGCGAAAACAGUAGUCAACUGUAAAUUUCACCAACAGUAAGACACAGUUAAUUUUACAGUUCCUUGCUGGCAACCAAGCUGCCAGUUAUUUACUGUUUUUUAAUAAACAGUAACCAACUGUAAUUUUACCCAACAGUAAGAUACUGUUAAUUUUACAGUUCCUUGCUGGCAACCAAGCUGCCAGUUAUUUACUGUUUUUUAACAGGACAAUUUUUA